GAUGAACGCUGGCGGCGUGCCUAAUACAUGCAAGUCGAGCGAACGGACGAGAAGCUUGCUUCUCUGAUGUUAGCGGCGGACGGGUGAGUAACACGUGGAUAACCUACCUAUAAGACUGGGAUAACUUCGGGAAACCGGAGCUAAUACCGGAUAAUAUUUUGAACCGCAUGGUUCAAAAGUGAAAGACGGUCUUGCUGUCACUUCUCGAUGGAUCCGCGCUGCAUUAGCUAGUUGGUAAGGUAACGGCUUACCAAGGCAACGAUGCAUAGCCGACCUGAGAGGGUGAUCGGCCACACUGGAGCGGAGACACGGUCCAGAGUCCUACGGGAGGCAGCAGUAGGGAAUGUUCCGCAGAGGGCGAAAGCCUGACGGAGCAACGCCGCGUGAGUGAUGGAGGUCUUCGGAUCGUAAAACUCUGUUAUUAGGGAAGAACAUAUGUGUAAGUAACUGUGCACAUCUUGACGGUACCUAAUCAGAAAGCCACGGCUAACUACGUG
This 497-nucleotide ribosomal RNA is filed under the name uncultured bacterium. Its description in RNAcentral is "partial 16S ribosomal RNA". It matches the Rfam family "Bacterial small subunit ribosomal RNA", at positions 28 to 507 of the family's 1533-position model. The record is from RNAcentral.